RNAcentral lists this ribosomal RNA (253 nucleotides) under uncultured bacterium. Its description in RNAcentral is "partial 16S ribosomal RNA". It matches the Rfam family "Bacterial small subunit ribosomal RNA", at positions 524 to 776 of the family's 1533-position model. The record is from RNAcentral.
UACAGAGGGUGCAAGCGUUAAUCGGAAUUACUGGGCGUAAAGCGUGCGUAGACGGUUAUUUAAGUCAGGUGUGAAAGCCCCGGGCUCAACCUGGGAAUUGCAUUUGAGACUGAAUAGCUAGGGUGCGGAAGAGGGAAGCGGAAUUUCCGGUGUAGCGGUGAAGUGCGUAGAUAUCGGAAGGAACACCAGUGGCGAAAGCGGCUUCCUGGUCCAGCACCGACGUUCAGGCACGAAAGCGUGGGGAGCAAACAGG